Molecule: ribosomal RNA, 415 nt
Filed under: uncultured bacterium
Lineage: Bacteria
Description: partial 16S ribosomal RNA
Rfam family: Bacterial small subunit ribosomal RNA
Source: RNAcentral
UGGGGAAUAUUGCACAAUGGGCGCAAGCCUGAUGCAGCCAUGCCGCGUGUGUGAAGAAGGCCUUCGGGUUGUAAAGCACUUUCAGCGAGGAGGAAGGUGGUGGACUUAAUACGUUCAUCAAUUGACGUUACUCGCAGAAGAAGCACCGGCUAACUCCGUGCCAGCAGCCGCGGUAAUACGGAGGGUGCAAGCGUUAAUCGGAAUUACUGGGCGUAAAGCGCACGCAGGCGGUUUGUUAAGUCAGAUGUGAAAUCCCCGGGCUCAACCUGGGAACUGCAUUUGAAACUGGCAAGCUAGAGUCUCGUAGAGGGGGGUAGAAUUCCAGGUGUAGCGGUGAAAUGCGUAGAGAUCUGGAGGAAUACCGGUGGCGAAGGCGGCCCCCUGGACGAAGACUGACGCUCAGGUGCGAAAGCGU